AAUCCGAGAAUUUCACCUCCAACAACGAAAUACGAAUGCCCCCAACUGUCCCUAUUAAUCAUUACUUCGGUUCCAGAAACCAACGGAAAAUAGAACCAAAGUCCUAUUCCAUUAUUCCAUGCUUAUGUAUCCAAGCACAAGCCUGCUUUGAACACUCUAAUUUUUUCAAAGUAAACGUCGCGUAUCCAACGCACACUCAGUUAAGAGCACGCGAAGUCUGCGCGAAGAAGGCCAACGCCGACAGUGACAUACCUUGCGGCUGACCGUCGUCGUCGAGCCCGAAAUCCAACUACGAGCUUUUUAACUGCAACAACUUUACAAUACGCUAUUGGAGCUGGAAUUACCGC
This 347-nucleotide unclassified non-coding RNA is filed under the name uncultured fungus. Its description in RNAcentral is "sequence contains ITS1". The record is from RNAcentral. Lineage: Eukaryota; Fungi.